Molecule: ribosomal RNA, 371 nt
Filed under: uncultured organism
Description: partial 16S ribosomal RNA
Rfam family: Bacterial small subunit ribosomal RNA
Source: RNAcentral
GUAGGGGGCAAACGUUUGCUCGGAAUUACUGGGCGUAAAGGGUGUGUAGGUGGCUGAGCAAGUCUUAGAUGAAAUCCCGAGGCCUACCCUCGGAACUGUCUUCGAUACUGCUCAGCUUGAGGAUGGUUGAGGAGAACGGAAUUCCCGGUGGAGCGGUGAAAUGCGUAGAUAUCGGGAGGAACACCAGAGGCGAAGGCGGUUCUCUGGGCCAUUCCUGACACUGAAACACGAAAGCUAGGGGAGCAAACGGGAUUAGAUACCCCGGGUAGUCCUAGCCGUAAACGAUGGGCACUAGAUGUUUCCGCUUUUAUGUGGGAGUGUCGUAGCUAACGCGUUAAGUGCCCCGCCUGGGGAGUACGGUCGCAAGGCUG